GGGCGCCCCCUCCUGUCUAACGGGUCCCCUGUACCCAGGGACUCCCAACCUUCGGUGCCACAUGGGUCCCCUGUACCCGGCGCUCUCUCCAACACCCCAACACCAACUGCGACACGCACCAGUGAGCAGCCACAGCAACUCUCAAAACAGUUCUCGCCUUCAUGUCCCAGUACCCAGAUAGCUUGAAUUCCAAUUCCCACGCCUCAGUGAUCACCCACAGCAUACAAGCAGCAGCACAGUUGGAUCGCGUCAGUCCUGAAGACGGACAGAGCACUCACUGUCCGAAACGUCGAGGAACCGGUUCUUUCAGGACCACACAUACUCAAAAGAGAUAUUUUCCACGUGGUGUAUCCGCAAACUCUCUACCUUAUACCUCGGAGUGAUGUGCGGUGGAGUGUGGCAUUCCACAGGGCAGCGUACGUGGACCUCUUCUUUUUUAACAUUAUGGUCUACCUGCCUGGCUUCUUCAGACAAGAAAGCAGGUUGACAAUUUGGAGAAAAACAUCAUAAGGGCUAAACAUCAGUGAUGAUGUGCGAACCAGAGAGGAUAUUAUUGUUGUUAAGUGCAACGGCA
Molecule: long non-coding RNA, 574 nt
Organism: Acanthaster planci (crown-of-thorns starfish)
Lineage: Eukaryota; Metazoa; Echinodermata; Asteroidea; Valvatida; Acanthasteridae
Source: RefSeq, a predicted model, not a curated record